AUUGAACGCUGGCGGCAGGCCUAACACAUGCAAGUCGAGCGGAUGAAGGGAGCUUGCUCCUGGAUUCAGCGGCGGACGGGUGAGUAAUGCCUAGGAAUCUGCCUGGUAGUGGGGGAUAACGUCCGGAAACGGGCGCUAAUACCGCAUACGUCCUGAGGGAGAAAGUGGGGGAUCUUCGGAUCUCACGCUAUCAGAUGAGCCUAGGUCGGAUUAGCUAGUUGGUGGGGUAAAGGCCUACCAAGGCGACGAUCCGUAACUGGUCUGAGAGGAUGAUCAGUCACACUGGAACUGAGACACGGUCCAGACUCCUACGGGAGGCAGCAGUGGGGAAUAUUGGACAAUGGGCGAAAGCCUGAUCCAGCCAUGUCGCGUGUGUGAAGAAGGUCUUCGGAUUGUAAAGCACUUUAAGUUGGGAGGAAGGGCAGUAAGUUAAUACCUCUGUUUUGACGUUACCAACAGAAUAAGCACCGGCUAACUUCGUG
RNAcentral lists this ribosomal RNA (482 nucleotides) under uncultured bacterium. RNAcentral's name for it is "partial 16S ribosomal RNA". It matches the Rfam family "Bacterial small subunit ribosomal RNA", at positions 30 to 507 of the family's 1533-position model. The record is from RNAcentral.